CAAUCAAGUGAUGAGAGAAACUGCAACAAUAUGAACGGAUACAUUCCAUGAUUCUCUUGGGAUUUAAGUCUCGGAUGAUA
Alnus glutinosa is the source of this 80-nucleotide small nucleolar RNA. RefSeq annotates it as small nucleolar RNA Z199. The transcript has a single exon. The record is from RefSeq and is a predicted model, not a curated record. Lineage: Eukaryota; Viridiplantae; Streptophyta; Magnoliopsida; Fagales; Betulaceae.